Molecule: ribosomal RNA, 253 nt
Filed under: uncultured bacterium
Lineage: Bacteria
Description: partial 16S ribosomal RNA
Rfam family: Bacterial small subunit ribosomal RNA
Source: RNAcentral
UACGGAGGGGGCUAGCGUUGUUCGGAAUUACUGGGCGUAAAGCGCACGUAGGCGGACUAUUAAGUCAGUGGUGAAAUCCCGAGGCUCAACCUCGGAAUUGCCUUUGAUACUGGUAGUCUUGAGUCCGGGAGAGGUGAGUGGAAUUCCGAGUGUAGAGGUGAAAUUCGUAGAUAUUCGGAGGAACACCAGUGGCGAAGGCGGCUCACUGGCCCGGUACUGACGCUGAGGUGCGAAAGCGUGGGGAGCAAACAGG